Molecule: ribosomal RNA, 497 nt
Filed under: uncultured bacterium
Lineage: Bacteria
Description: partial 16S ribosomal RNA
Rfam family: Bacterial small subunit ribosomal RNA
Source: RNAcentral
GAUGAACGCUGGCGGCGUGCCUAAUACAUGCAAGUCGAGCGAACAGAUAAGGAGCUUGCUCCUUUGACGUUAGCGGCGGACGGGUGAGUAACACGUGGGUAACCUACCUAUAAGGCUGGAAUAACUCCGGGAAACCGGGGCUAAUGCAGGAUAACAUGUUGAACCGCAUGGUUCUACAGUGAAAGGCGGCUUUGCUGUCACUUAUAGAUGGACCCGCGCCGUAUUAGCUAGUUGGUGAGGUAACGGCUCACCAAGGCAACGAUACGUAGCCGACCUGAGAGGGUGAUCGGCCACACUGGAACUGAGACACGGUCCAGACUCCUACGGGAGGCAGCAGUAGGGAAUCUUCCGCAAUGGGCGAAAGCCUGACGGAGCAACGCCGCGUGAGUGAUGAAGGUCUUCGGAUCGUAAAACUCUGUUAUUAGGGAAGAACAAAUGCGUAAGUAACUGUGCGCGUCUUGACGGUACCUAAUCAGAAAGCCACGGCUAACUACGUG